AUUAGAUACCCUGGGUAGUCCACGCCGUAAACGAUGAAUACUAGGUGUAGGGGGUAUCGACUCCCUCUGUGCCGCCGCUAACGCAUUAAGUAUUCCGCCUGGGGACUACGGCCGCAAGGUUGAAACUCAAAGAAAUUGACGGGGACCCGCACAAGCAGCGGAGCAUGUGGUUUAAUUCGACGCAACGCGAAAAACCUUACCAGGCCUUGACAUUGAGUGAAAGUUCAAGAGAUUGAACCCUCCUUCGGGACACGAAAACAGGUGCUGCAUGGUUGUCGUCAGCUCGUGUCGUGAGAUGUUAGGUUAAGUCCUGCAACGAGCGCAACCCUCAUAUACAGUUGCCAAUAUUCAGUUAGGAACUCUGUAUAGACUGCCGUGGUUAACACGGAGGAAGGUGGGGAUGACGUCAAAUCAUCACGGCCCUUACGGCCUGGGCUACACACGUGCUACAAUGGCUAUUACAAAGAGUUGCAAUAUGGUAACAUGGAGCGAAUCUCAAAAAGAUAGUCUCAGUUCGGAUUGUGGGCUGCAACCCGCCCACAUGAAGUCGGAGUUGCUAGUAAUCCCGAAUCAGCAUGUCGGGGUGAAUGCGUUCCCGGGU
Molecule: ribosomal RNA, 601 nt
Filed under: uncultured bacterium
Lineage: Bacteria
Description: bacterial SSU rRNA
Rfam family: Bacterial small subunit ribosomal RNA
Source: RNAcentral